RNAcentral lists this ribosomal RNA (453 nucleotides) under uncultured organism. Its description in RNAcentral is "partial 16S ribosomal RNA". It matches the Rfam family "Bacterial small subunit ribosomal RNA", at positions 329 to 798 of the family's 1533-position model. The record is from RNAcentral.
ACGUACACUCCUACGGGAGGCAGCAGUGGGGAAUAUUGGACAAUGGGCGCAAGCCUGAUCCAGCCAUGCCGCGUGAGUGAUGAAGGCCCUAGGGUUGUAAAGCUCUUUCACCGGUGAAGAUAAUGACAGUAACCGGAGAAGAAGCCCCGGCUAACUUCGUGCCAGCAGCCGCGGUAAUACGAAGGGGGCUAGCGUUGUUCGGAUUUACUGGGCGUAAAGCGCACGUAGGCGGACUAUUAAGUCAGGGGUGAAAUCCCGGGGCUCAACCCCGGAACUGCCUUUGAUACUGGUAGUCUUGAGUUCGAGAGAGGUGAGUGGAAUUCCGAGUGUAGAGGUGAAAUUCGUAGAUAUUCGGAGGAACACCAGUGGCGAAGGCGGCUCACUGGCUCGAUACUGACGCUGAGGUGCGAAAGCGUGGGGAGCAAACAGGAUUAGAUACCCCGGUAGUCCCAU